GAUGAAGAACGCAGCGAAAUGCGAUAAGUAAUGUGAAUUGCAGAAUUCAGUGAAUCAUCGAAUCUUUGAACGCACAUUGCGCCCGCCAGGAUUCUGGCGGGCAUGCCUGUUCGAGCGUCAUUACAACCCUCAGGCCCCCGGGCCUGGCGUUGGGGAUCGGCGGAAGCCCCCUGCGGGCACAACGCCGUCCCCCAAAUACAGUGGCGGUCCCGCCGCAGCUUCCAUUGCGUAGUAGCUAACACCUCGCAACUGGAGAGCGGCGCGGCCACGCCGUAAAACACCCAACUUCUGAAUGUUGACCUCGAAUCAGGUAGGAAUACCCGCUGAACUUAAGCAUAUCAAUAAGCGGAGGA
This 353-nucleotide unclassified non-coding RNA is filed under the name soil metagenome. RNAcentral describes it as "partial contains 5.8S ribosomal RNA, internal transcribed spacer 2, and large subunit ribosomal RNA". The stretch from base 1 to 120 matches the Rfam family "5.8S ribosomal RNA", at positions 35 to 154 of the family's 154-position model. The record is from RNAcentral.